RNAcentral lists this long non-coding RNA (2714 nucleotides) under Varroa destructor (honeybee mite). RNAcentral describes it as "uncharacterized LOC111249727". The record is from RNAcentral. Lineage: Eukaryota; Metazoa; Arthropoda; Arachnida; Mesostigmata; Varroidae.
UCGCGGAGAUGGGCGGCGCGUAAUUUGAAUUUUCGGUGAGAAGCAGUGCCGUGCCCUGUGAUAUCAAAUAUGAAAUGACACUAGCAACAACAGACGAAAUUUGAUUUUGGUCACCGUAACGGAUUCAUUUACGAAAGGAGUGACAUGAAGUACUUCACAGCUUCGAAUCCUGGAAUCCUUUUGGACUACUAUUACGGACGUGAGUGGAACGAAUUGAGCGCUUCUUCAAUUCCCUGAAUACGUAUCAUCUACACUUCAGUUUCGGUAAUAGUCUUCCAAGAUCCUCUAGGUCCAAAAGCUGCGGGAAAUUUCUGGUCGAGGGUCGACGAAGAGAAAACCUUUAAUGCAUGCUCUUGGGAAGAAAAGUGAAAGACACCGUUAAGAAUUGCGGCAAAAGGAUGCAAAGAAGUUAACAACAGUGGCAUUUGAAAAGAGUUAAGAAUAAUCCGACCGGAUUGAUCACAAAGCUUGCGGUCGAGGGCAAUCAUAUCAGGACAGAAGUAGCGAUUCUAGUGUUGCCAAAUUAACCGCUACUGCUCUGACGAGGUCGCGUUAUGUCACUGGCCGCGCAAUGAAUAUCAUGAGAUCGAAACAGCCCAUUGCCCCGAAGAUGGCCCAGCCGUCCAUUCCGCCCUCCGAGCGUAUACAUAUGUUUGCUCCAGAAGCCAGUAUAGUUCACUUAAAAAUUGCUCACUACAUUAAUAAAGCUCAAGCUAUGGUACACUGGACGUUAGUUUAUAAAAAUCGCCAAAGAACAGAUUGUGUGGACGUCUUUCGUCUGCAUUGCCACAAUCCACCGCAGUGCUCCACGAGUAUGUACAAUGAAAUCUAUUUGGGCUUCAAUAAAACAUCUUUUUAAAGUACCCCAACAGUAGAAAAUGGCAAGACAUUGUUCGGCUGCCCGUAUCAUCAUAGAUAAAGCCUAAGUUCGAUAGGAGCCCUGCUAAACGUUCAUUGAAAUUUAUCAGAAAUAUUUGGGUACAACAGAUGAUAGCCCUUUGCCCUUUUAACUCAAAUUGUUGCCAUAUCAGGCAUAUCAUAGAUAUUCGGACACUCCCCGCCAGUUAGUCCGAGAAGUGAGCGUCUUUCUUUCAUAAUAAUCGCCUUUGGACUUCAAUGAAGAAUGCGGGUAGAAGGCUACUUGCAGCUACGGCGGAAUAAAUCAAAUAGAAUAAUUGUGAUAGAAAGAUAGAAACAGGUUUUCUUGUCACGUUUUGUCCUGAAUUUAAGCCUUGCCUUCAUAAUGCUCGAUCAGUUGAAAUGAGCUACAGAUAUUUAUUGGCCAAUUGAUCAGUAAAAUGAUAAAUAUAUAGAAAAAACGUAAGAUUACUAUAUAUACUACUAACGGCGAUUAUACCAUAAAUCAGUAACGACGCACAUAGUGUCAUACGUAACUUAUAUCAAAUAUAUAUUUGUUCAGUUUAAACAUGCAGAAUAAUCCAUUAUGUGACAUAGAUAACCGAAAAUACAGUCGCAAUAAAUCAAGUUAAAUUCUCAGCGAUUUUAGACAUUUGUGUACGUGUCGGGCUCAUAUCGUCAGCUGAUUUCUUACUAUAGAUUUUGCAGGGAUAGCAGUGCUUGAAGUUAGGUGUUCUUUAUGUUUCGAGAUUUUCGUAUGGAACUACCUUCGUUAAGCAUGCUUUACACAGUUAACUUUCGGAACUGAAGGCCGUGCGUUUCCCGCGCCAACGCCAUCACCCCGUGCGUCUCUAGCCUUAAUACGCUACCACACGACAUCAGGCGAGUAACCUUACAUCUGAGCAUUCUAUCAUACUGCAUGAACUUUUCCCAACCAUCCUUCUAGUGUUUAGGCCGGCGACACCGAAAUAUUCAGUCACUACAAGAUCUUUCGCUGGUCUGACGUGGUAAUGGACAAAAGCUUGUGCUGUCUUCAGUGCCCAACCGUGAUGGAGGUACUCGCUGCUGCUGCUGCUGCUGCUGCUUUAAAUGAUUGAAAAUCACGUAUUUCGCCGAACAGACCUCUUGGCUUCUUACGCGGAAUAGGUCUAGUAUCGCUUCUUUUCAGGAUGUUAGGUUCUAGCUGCGCAACACUGAUAUCGUUUACUGUAAUAUCUCGUAUUGUCUGGGCCCUUCUGGCUUUUGUCAGGUUAAGCAAGUAAGUGCCUGAAGCUUAAGCUUACCAACAAAACGGACCAGCCGAAACCCUCAGCUGUUUCGUCUAGGAGAUUUGUUUCAUGAACCCUGCAUGCAGCAGCAGGAAUAUGCUGAAUUUGCCUACGAGAUCAUUCAAAUGCAGUGUAUAACUGUGGAAGAUAAAGUUCGCUCGUGGACGCGAACUGCAGAAGUGACUGGGCAGAUAGGAAAUGCUGGUCUAACGCAGUCGUCUAAUAAGGUUUGAGUGAUAGUUUCAAUACGACAAGUUAAUGUAUAUUCGCUCGAAUCAGUCCAUGCUUCAUUGAUCCAUGAAUGUGUACUUUAUAUAUUUCAUUCUAAAUAAACAUUUAUAACAUCAAAAGGUUGUUUGUAGUUUUUUUACAUUUAAUGACGCUUGUUUUUUAUCCUUGUAAUUCAUAUACGUUGCACGUUCGUCUGGAACUUCACCGAGAGACGCUUGCUCAGACAACGUUUCAAGUUUUCCACGCUGAAGCCUUUUCCGCUCGAUGAAUCUUCAAACAAUAAUGCGUGAAAACAUUACUAACCCAUAACGUAGCUGCUGGAAGAUACAUUUGCUACUAAAUUGCCGUUUUGGUCAA